AAUAUAUUUCGUUGAUCUACAUUAAAAUGUUCUCAAAUAAUCAAAUAAAUAAUAAAACCAAAUAAAAUAAAAUAAAUAAAGCAACAGAGAUGGACAAAUGCCAGGCAAAACCCACACAAAUCUACAAACUCACAGAAAUGUGACACACAGAAGGCAACCGUUUGGUGCACAGUGACUGUAAAUUGUCAAAGAAAUCCAAUUCAAAAACAUUACCCUCUUACCAAAAGUCUUGUGUUUUCCCUGCUGCAAAUGCACAUUUAUUCUUCCACUCACAAAUCCAAUGGGGUUCCGUGGUAACCACCUAUUACAAAAUAUUCUCGUUACUGCUCUCCUUUUUUUGGGAACAUCCAAAAAAGUAAUUGUCUGUGAUAAAUCAAAUAAAGCUGCUUUCUCUAUUCCACAGCAGACGCCAUUGCAUAUCAUGGAAACAAAUCCUCAUUGAACCCAAGUCUGCAGGCACUGGAAUCUGUAGUGAAAAGCAAACUGUUGGAGGAUCUCAGUGGGUCAGGCAGCAUCUGUCGAGAGCAAUGGACAGGAGAUGUUUCCGGUCGGGUCCC
This is a long non-coding RNA of Amblyraja radiata (thorny skate), 557 nucleotides long. RefSeq lists it as uncharacterized. The record is from RefSeq and is a predicted model, not a curated record. NCBI's taxonomy places the organism in Eukaryota, Metazoa, Chordata, Chondrichthyes, Rajiformes, Rajidae. The transcript has 3 exons.